UACGUAGGGGGCUAGCGUUGUCCGGAAUCAUUGGGCGUAAAGAGCGUGUAGGCGGCCCGGUAAGUCCGCUGUGAAAGUCGGGGGCUCAACCCUCGAAUGCCGGUGGAUACUGUCGGGCUAGAGUGCGGAAGAGGCGAGUGGAAUUCCUGGUGUAGCGGUGAAAUGCGCAGAUAUCAGGAGGAACACCGAUGGCGAAGGCAGGUCUCUGGGCCGCUACUGACGCUGAGAAGCGAAAGCAUGGGGAGCGAACAGG
This 253-nucleotide ribosomal RNA is filed under the name uncultured bacterium. RNAcentral's name for it is "partial 16S ribosomal RNA". It matches the Rfam family "Bacterial small subunit ribosomal RNA", at positions 524 to 776 of the family's 1533-position model. The record is from RNAcentral.